This 263-nucleotide unclassified non-coding RNA is filed under the name plant metagenome. Its description in RNAcentral is "partial contains small subunit ribosomal RNA, internal transcribed spacer 1, and 5.8S ribosomal RNA". The record is from RNAcentral.
UUUCCGUAGGUGAACCUGCGGAAGGAUCAUUAUCGAGUUUCGACUGGGUUGUAGCUGGCCUUCCGAGGCAUGUGCGCGCCCUGCUCAUCCACUCUACACCUGUGCACUUACUGUGGGUAUCAGAUCGUGAAGCGUGCUCUUUUACCGGAGCUUGUGAAGCGUGUCUGUGCCUGCGUUUAUCACAAACACUAUAAAGUAUCAGAAUGUGUAUUACGAUGUAACGCAUCUAUAUACAACUUUCAGCAACGGAUCUCUUGGCUCUC